GGGCCCGCACAAGCGGUGGAGCAUGUGGUUUAAUUCGAUGAUACGCGAGGAACCUUACCAGGGUUUAAAUGCAGAACGACAGGGGUGGAAACACCCCCUUCUUCGGACGGACUGCAAGGUGCUGCAUGGUUGUCGUCAGCUCGUGCUGUGAAGUGUCGGGUUAAGUCCCAUAACGAGCGCAACCCCCAUUUCUAGUUGCCAGCGGUUCGGCCGGGGACUCUAGAGAGACUGCCGGUGAUAAACCGGAGAAGGUGGGACGACGUCAAGUCAUCAUGGCCCCUUACGAGUAGGGCUACACACGUGCUACAAUGGCGCAUACAGAGGGCAGCCAACUUGCGAGAGUGAGCGAAUCCCAAAAAGUGCGUCGU
This 368-nucleotide ribosomal RNA is filed under the name uncultured bacterium. RNAcentral describes it as "bacterial SSU rRNA". It matches the Rfam family "Bacterial small subunit ribosomal RNA", at positions 917 to 1289 of the family's 1533-position model. The record is from RNAcentral.